ACAUGCCUACAUCAUAACGUUAAUGUACAUGAUCCCAUUAGAAAUCUGUAGUUAAACGCGCUCAGGAUGGAGUAGUACUGGGAUGGUUGAUCGCCUGAGAAGUCCUAGUGUUUGACAUGCC
Molecule: non-coding RNA, 121 nt
Organism: Picea glauca (white spruce)
Lineage: Eukaryota; Viridiplantae; Streptophyta; Pinopsida; Pinales; Pinaceae
Source: Rfam